GUAGGGGGGCAAGCGUUGUCCGGAAUUAUUGGGCGUAAAGCGCGCGCAGGCGGUCUCUUAAGUCCGAUGUGAAAGCCCACGGCUCAACCGUGGAGGGUCAUUGGAAACUGGGGGACUUGAGUGUAGGAGAGGAAAGUGGAAUUCCACGUGUAGCGGUGAAAUGCGUAGAUAUGUGGAGGAACACCAGUGGCGAAGGCGACUUUCUGGCCUACAACUGACGCUGAGGUGCGAAAGCGUGGGGAGCAAACAGGGAUUAGAUACCCUGGUAGUCCACGCCGUAAACGAUGAGUGCUAGGUGUUAGGGGUUUCGAUGCCCUUAGUGCCGAAGUUAACACAUUAAGCACUCCGCCUGGGGGAGUACGACCGCAAGGUUG
This 374-nucleotide ribosomal RNA is filed under the name uncultured organism. Its description in RNAcentral is "partial 16S ribosomal RNA". It matches the Rfam family "Bacterial small subunit ribosomal RNA", at positions 526 to 896 of the family's 1533-position model. The record is from RNAcentral.